Molecule: unclassified non-coding RNA, 342 nt
Filed under: soil metagenome
Description: partial contains 5.8S ribosomal RNA, internal transcribed spacer 2, and large subunit ribosomal RNA
Rfam family: 5.8S ribosomal RNA (bases 1-120)
Source: RNAcentral
GAUGAAGAACGUAGCUAAAUGCGAUAAGUAAUGUGAAUUGCAGAAUUCAGUGAAUCAUCGAAUCUUUGAACGCACAUUGCGCCCGCCAGCAUUCUGGCGGGCAUGCCUGUUCGAGCGUCAUUUCAACCCUCGAGCCCCCCCGGGGGCCUCGGUGUUGGGGGACGGCACACCAGCCGCCCCCGAAAUGCAGUGGCGACCCCGCCGCAGCCUCCCCUGCGUAGUAGCACACACCUCGCACCGGAGCGCGGAGGCGGUCACGCCGUAAAACGCCCAACUUCUGAAUGUUGACCUCGAAUCAGGUAGGAAUACCCGCUGAACUUAAGCAUAUCAAUAAGCGGAGGA